Molecule: non-coding RNA, 354 nt
Organism: Cucurbita pepo subsp. pepo (vegetable marrow)
Lineage: Eukaryota; Viridiplantae; Streptophyta; Magnoliopsida; Cucurbitales; Cucurbitaceae
Source: RefSeq, a predicted model, not a curated record
GCAACAAGAGAAGGAAAAGUAUGGCGGGAGGAAACUUAAAAAAGCUCACAGUUGUGUUCAUCUUUCUAGCCCUUACUUCUGGAUGGAUGGUAGUACAAACCGAGGGGCUGACUUGCUAUAAAGACAGCGAGGCGUUUAUAGGACAGUGCACUUUGGCAGCAGAAUGUGCUAGAGUCUGCAUUUCGUCUGAGGGGUGGGAUGACGGAUUUUGUUCGGGUGAUAAAUGCACUUGUACCCGGCAAUGCUGUUGUUAAGUCCAUGGUUUAAUGAGUUUAUUCACCAAAGUUACUCUCUGAAUGUAAUAAGGAACUGUUAGUUCACUGAAAUUCAAAGGCUCCUGCUUCCUUUCUUCCA